AACGAACGCUGGCGGCAUGCCUAACACAUGCAAGUCGAACGAGACCUUCGGGUCUAGUGGCGCACGGGUGCGUAACGCGUGGGAAUCUGCCCUUCGGUUGGGAAUAACUGAGAGAAAUUUCAGCUAAUACCUUAUAAUAUCUUCGGACCAAAGAUUUAUCGCCGAGGGAUGAGCCCGCGUAGGAUUAGGUAGUUGGUGGGGUAAUGGCCUACCAAGCCGACGAUCCUUAGCUGGUCUGAGAGGAUGAUCAGCCACACUGGGACUGAGACACGGCCCAGACUCCUACGGGAGGCAGCAGUGGGGAAUAUUGGACAAUGGGCGAAAGCCUGAUCCAGCAAUGCCGCGUGAGUGAUGAAGGCCUUAGGGUUGUAAAGCUCUUUUACCCGGGAUGAUAAUGACAGUACCGGGAGAAUAAGCUCCGGCUAACUCCGUG
RNAcentral lists this ribosomal RNA (433 nucleotides) under uncultured bacterium. Its description in RNAcentral is "partial 16S ribosomal RNA". It matches the Rfam family "Bacterial small subunit ribosomal RNA", at positions 29 to 507 of the family's 1533-position model. The record is from RNAcentral.